GCUCAACCGGGGAGGGUCAUGGAAACUGGGGAACUUGAGUGCAGAAGAGGAGAGUGGAAUUCCACGUGUAGCGGUGAAAUGCGUAGAGAUGUGGAGGAACACCAGUGGCGAAGGCGACUCUCUGGUCUGUAACUGACGCUGAGGCGCGAAAGCGUGGGGAGCGAACAGGAUUAGAUACCCUGGUAGUCCACGCCGUAAACGAUGAGUGCUAAGUGUUAGAGGGUUUCCGCCCUUUAGUGUUGCAGCAAACGCAUUAAGCACUCCGCCUGGGGAGUACGGUCGCAAGACUGAAACUCAAAGGAAUUGACGGGGGCCCGCACAAGCGGUGGAGCAUGUGGUUUAAUUCGAAGCAACGCGAAGAACCUUACCAGGUCUUGACAUCCUCUGACAACCCUAGAGAUAGGGCUUCCCCUUCGGGGGCAGAGUGACAGGUGGUGCAUGGUUGUCGUCAGCUCGUGUCGUGAGAUGUUGGGUUAAGUCCCGCAACGAGCGCAACCCUUGAUCUUAGUUGCCAGCAUUCAGUUGGGCACUCUAAGGUGACUGUCGGUGACAAACCGGAGGAAGGUGGGGAUGACGUCAAAUCAUCAUGCCCCUUAUGACCUGGGCUACACACGUGCUACAAUGGGCAGAACAAAG
RNAcentral lists this ribosomal RNA (636 nucleotides) under uncultured bacterium. RNAcentral's name for it is "bacterial SSU rRNA". It matches the Rfam family "Bacterial small subunit ribosomal RNA", at positions 607 to 1244 of the family's 1533-position model. The record is from RNAcentral.